This 277-nucleotide ribosomal RNA is filed under the name uncultured eukaryote. RNAcentral's name for it is "partial 18S ribosomal RNA". It matches the Rfam family "Eukaryotic small subunit ribosomal RNA", at positions 21 to 293 of the family's 1831-position model. The record is from RNAcentral.
UAGUCAUAUGCUUGUUUCAAAGAUUAAGCCAUGCAUGUCUAAGUAUAAACACCUUUAUACUGUGAGACUGCGUACAGCUCAUUAAAUCAGUAAUUAUUUAUUUGAUGGUACCUUUCUACAUGGAUACCCGUAGUAAUUCUAGAGCUAAUACAUGCACAAAGGCCCGACUCGCAAGGGAAGGGUUGUAUUUAUUAGAUUAAAAACCAAUGCAGGUUCUGCCUGGUUUGUGGUGAUUCAUAAUAACUGAUCGGACCACAUGGCCUCGCGCCGGUGGUAG